CCUACGGGUGGCUGCAGUGGGGGAUAUUGCACAAUGGGGGAAACCCUGAUGCAGCGACGCCGCGUGGGUGAAGAAGGGCCUCGGCGCGUAAAGUCCUGUCAGCCGGGAAGAAAAUGACGGUAUCUGACUAAGAAGCCACGGCCAACUACGUGCCAGCAGCCGCGGUCAUACGUAGGGGGCAAGCGUUAUACGGAGUUACUGGGUGAAAAGGGAGCGUAGACGGCUAUGCAAGUCUGACGUGAAAGGCGGGGGCCCAACCCCGGAACUGCGUUGGAAACUGUAUGGCUGGAGUGCAGGAGAGGGAAGUAGAAUUCCUAGUGUAGCGGUGAAAUGCGUAGAUAUUAGGAGGAACACCAGUGGCGAAGGCGGCUUACUGGACGGUAACUGACGUUGAGGCUCGAAAGCGUGGGGAGCAAACAGGAUUAGAUACCCGUGUAGUC
Molecule: ribosomal RNA, 440 nt
Filed under: uncultured bacterium
Lineage: Bacteria
Description: partial 16S ribosomal RNA
Rfam family: Bacterial small subunit ribosomal RNA
Source: RNAcentral